This 466-nucleotide ribosomal RNA is filed under the name uncultured bacterium. RNAcentral's name for it is "partial 16S ribosomal RNA". It matches the Rfam family "Bacterial small subunit ribosomal RNA", at positions 28 to 507 of the family's 1533-position model. The record is from RNAcentral.
GAUGAACGCUGGCGGCGUGCUUAACACAUGCAAGUCGAACGGACAGGCUCCUGCUUGCCGGGGUACUCGAGUGGCGAACGGGUGAGUAACACGUGGGUGAUCUGCCCUGCACUUCCGGAUAAGCCUGGGAAACUGGGUCUAAUACCGGCUAGGACGAUGGUUUGGAUGUUAUUGUGGAAUGUUUUUCGGUGUGGGAUGAGCUCGCGGCCUAUCAGCUUGCUGGUGGGGUAAUGGCCUACCAAGGCGUCGACGGGUAGCCGGCCUGAGAGGGUGUACGGCCACAUUGAGACUGAGAGACGGACCAGACUCCUACGGGAGGCAGUAGUGGGAAAUAUUGCAGAAUGAGCGCAAGCCUGAUGCAGAGACGCCGCGUGGGGGAUGACGUGCUUCGGGUUGUAAACUCGUGUCGCAAGGGACGAAGCAUUUUGUGACGGUACCUGAAGAGGAAGCAACGGCUAACUACGUG